Molecule: ribosomal RNA, 468 nt
Filed under: uncultured bacterium
Lineage: Bacteria
Description: partial 16S ribosomal RNA
Rfam family: Bacterial small subunit ribosomal RNA
Source: RNAcentral
GACGAACGCUGGCGGCGUGCUUAACACAUGCAAGUCGAACGAAAAGGCCCUGAUUUUGUGGGGUGCUCGUUUGGCGAACGGGUGUGUAACACGUGAGUAACCUGCACUUGUCUUUGGGAUAUCUUCAGGGAACUGGGGCUAAUAUCGGAUAGGAUCUCCUGCUGCAUGGUGGGGGUUGGAGAGUUUCGGCGGUUUUGGAUGUAUUCGCGGCUUACCAGCUUGUUGGUGGGGUAGUGGCGUACCAAGGCUGUGACGGGUAGCCGGCCUGGGAGCGGGACCGGCCACAAGGGGACUGCGAGAGGCCGCAGUCUCCAACGGUAGGCAGUAGGGGAGAAUAUUGCACAGCGGGGCGACGCCUGUUGCGGCAACCCCGCGUGCGUGAAGACGGCCUUCGAGGUGUAAACAGAUUUCGCCUGUGACGAAGACUGAGUGACGGUAAUGGGUAAAGAAGCACCGGCUAACUACGUG